Molecule: long non-coding RNA, 316 nt
Organism: Diceros bicornis minor
Lineage: Eukaryota; Metazoa; Chordata; Mammalia; Perissodactyla; Rhinocerotidae
Exons: 3
Source: RefSeq, a predicted model, not a curated record
GCCAGCUCAUGAACAGCAUUAUGGAAUGACUCACGCUGUGAGGAACUGCAGUUUCCUGCCAACAAAUACAUGAAUGUGCUUGGAAUGGAUCCUUUAGCACCAGUGAUGUCUUUAGAGACCAUAUCCCCGGCUGACAGCUUGGCUACAGCCUAAUAAGAGACUCUGAGCCAGAGCAACCCAGGAAAGCAUGCUCCUCAAUUCCUGCACCUCAAACACUAUAUGAUUCUUCUCAUGAUUUAAUGGCUGAAUCUACUCAACACCAGAUUAUAUAAAUAAAAGAUCAAUAAUGUGAAUAUAUGCCAUAUUUUUACAUAAC